This 253-nucleotide ribosomal RNA is filed under the name uncultured bacterium. RNAcentral describes it as "partial 16S ribosomal RNA". It matches the Rfam family "Bacterial small subunit ribosomal RNA", at positions 524 to 776 of the family's 1533-position model. The record is from RNAcentral.
UACGUAGGGUGCAAGCGUUGUCCGGAAUUAUUGGGCGUAAAGAGCUCGUAGGCGGUUUGUCACGUCGGAUGUGAAACCCUGAGGCUCAACCUCAGGCCUGCAUUCGAUACGGGCAGACUAGAAUUCGGCAGGGGAGACUGGAAUUCCUGGUGUAGCGGUGAAAUGCGUAGAUAUCUGGAGGAACACCGGUGGCGAAGGCGGCAUCCUGGACCGAUACUGACGCUGAGGAGCGAAAGCCAGGGGAGCAAACGGG